RNAcentral lists this ribosomal RNA (433 nucleotides) under uncultured bacterium. RNAcentral describes it as "partial 16S ribosomal RNA". It matches the Rfam family "Bacterial small subunit ribosomal RNA", at positions 29 to 507 of the family's 1533-position model. The record is from RNAcentral.
AACGAACGCUGGCGGCAUGCCUAACACAUGCAAGUCGAACGAAGCCUUCGGGCUUAGUGGCGCACGGGUGCGUAACGCGUGGGAAUCUGCCCCUUGCUUCGGAAUACCAGUUAGAAAUGACUGCUAAUACCGGAUGAAGUCUUCGGACCAAAGAUUUAUCGGCAAGGGAUGAGCCCGCGUAGGAUUAGGUAGUUGGUGGGGUAAAGGCCUACCAAGCCGACGAUCCUUAGCUGGUCUGAGAGGAUGAUCAGCCACACUGGGACUGAGACACGGCCCAGACUCCUACGGGAGGCAGCAGUGGGGAAUAUUGGACAAUGGACGCAAGUCUGAUCCAGCAAUGCCGCGUGAGUGAUGAAGGCCUUAGGGUUGUAAAGCUCUUUUACCAGGGAUGAUAAUGACAGUACCUGGAGAAUAAGCUCCGGCUAACUCCGUG